RNAcentral lists this ribosomal RNA (910 nucleotides) under uncultured bacterium. RNAcentral's name for it is "bacterial SSU rRNA". It matches the Rfam family "Bacterial small subunit ribosomal RNA", at positions 8 to 916 of the family's 1533-position model. The record is from RNAcentral.
AGAGUUUGAUCCUGGCUCAGAUUGAACGCUGGCGGCAGGCUUAACACAUGCAAGUCGAACGAUGAUUAUCUAGCUUGCUAGAUAUGAUUAGUGGCGGACGGGUGAGUAACAUUUAGGAAUCUGCCUAGUAGUGGGGGAUAGCUCGGGGAAACUCGAAUUAAUACCGCAUACGACCUACGGGUGAAAGGGGGCGCAAGCUCUUGCUAUUAGAUGAGCCUAAAUCAGAUUAGCUAGUUGGUGGGGUAAAGGCCCACCAAGGCGACGAUCUGUAACUGGUCUGAGAGGAUGAUCAGUCACACCGGAACUGAGACACGGUCCGGACUCCUACGGGAGGCAGCAGUGGGGAAUAUUGGACAAUGGGGGCAACCCUGAUCCAGCCAUGCCGCGUGUGUGAAGAAGGCCUUUUGGUUGUAAAGCACUUUAAGCAGGGAGGAGAGGCUAAUGGUUAAUACCCAUUAGAUUAGACGUUACCUGCAGAAUAAGCACCGGCUAACUCUGUGCCAGCAGCCGCGGUAAUACAGAGGGUGCGAGCGUUAAUCGGAAUUACUGGGCGUAAAGCGAGUGUAGGUGGCUCAUUAAGUCACAUGUGAAAUCCCCGGGCUUAACCUGGGAACUGCAUGUGAUACUGGUGGUGCUAGAAUAUGUGAGAGGGAAGUAGAAUUCCAGGUGUAGCGGUGAAAUGCGUAGAGAUCUGGAGGAAUACCGAUGGCGAAGGCAGCUUCCUGGCAUAAUAUUGACACUGAGAUUCGAAAGCGUGGGUAGCAAACAGGAUUAGAUACCCUGGUAGUCCACGCCGUAAACGAUGUCUACUAGCCGUUGGGGUCCUUGAGACUUUAGUGGCGCAGUUAACGCGAUAAGUAGACCGCCUGGGGAGUACGGCCGCAAGGUUAAAACUCAAAGGAAUUGACGG